Molecule: long non-coding RNA, 5994 nt
Organism: Canis lupus familiaris (dog)
Lineage: Eukaryota; Metazoa; Chordata; Mammalia; Carnivora; Canidae
Exons: 4
Source: RefSeq, a predicted model, not a curated record
CUCUUCGAACGCCUGCCUCUGCAGCCGGUCCCGCCGCCUCAGCUCCUCCGAAAUGUGGCGCUUCCAGCGGGGGAAGUCGGCGGCGCGGAGGCCCGACGACAUCUCGCGCGCUGCCCCGGCGCCUGAGCGCCGCUAAUCCGAGCGGGGGCCGGCAGCCGCGGGCCGCAGCAUGAGCGACCAGCGCACGCCGGAAGGGCCGGCGGCCCACACCUCGCUGCCACACACCGCCCCGCCAAGAGCCGUCCGGGACCGUCUUCCGGCUCUUGCCGGAAAGGGCUGGGGUCAGGGCCGGAAAGCCCGCCUCCUCACCCGACGUCUGACGCCGCGCGCGCGCACGUGACCAGGGGCGACGCCGGGCGCUGGCUAAUGACGCGCUCCCGAGGCCGGAAGCGCGGGGUGCGGAGAGGCGGCCGCUGGGAGGCGUGCGGGCUGCGCUGGAGUCUCCGCCGCCGCCGCCUGUCGGUUUACGCUUCGUUCCCUUCGCUGCCUUCCCCCGAUUUAUAUUUUUCUUGGUCGGACUUCCUUUCCUUCAUCGCUUCCGUUGACCAGCAGGAGGGGGAGCCGCUCCCCACACCGGAGAUGAGCAGCCUCGCUGAGCCUCAGUUUCCUAGCCCGUGAAGUGGGGGCCCUGAUGGUACCGACCUCAGGGUUGGCGUCAGGAUUAAAAGGAAUAACCUGUGGAAGGCAGCGAGCACGACGCCUGGGUCACCGCAAGCCUGACUUCACCUGCCCCCCCCCCCCCCCCCCCCCCCGGUAUCUUCCUGCCCGCAAAAGUCGGGCUGCUUUAGACUUUUGCAAAGUGCCCCCAUUGCCCUCGGGAACAGGUGUUUUACAACGAAGAAAUGGAAUGCAAAGAACCGUUAAAAGAAAAAUACCAAAAAAAAAAAAAGAAAAAAAAGAAAGAAAAGAAAAGAAAAAUACCAUUAGGUCGACUCUAUUACUGGUUAGAAGCCUGGGAAUGAUCCAUAUGACCUAACGGUAAACGGGUUCUUCGAAGGUAAUCGAAGGGUGGGGACGGUUUGCCAGGAAAUCUUGCAGAUGGUCCGUGGACGACAGGCUCUUGAGAAGAUAGCAGCUGUCAACUCAGUAGAACGGGAAUGGUGUGUGAUCAAAUCAUCCAAACUCCGUUUACCUUUAACAAGUUGGUGAAUCUGCGUGAAAAUGGAACACCCCCGAAGUAGGAGGCCAGAGGAUGAUGAAAGGAGUAUCAGAGCCUGGCUUCUCAUCCACUGUGGCUCAAGUCCAGGGUCUCCUUUAGGGACAGAUUUAAAAAAAAAAAAAAAAAAAAAAGCCUUUCCUCUUCUGUGGAGCCUGAGACACUUCGUUGGCAGUCAGUACUGAGUGAUCUGAAUUUGUAGGAAGGACAAGGAAAAGUCAAAUACAAGAGACUCGGAGCACCUGGGUGGCCUGCCUGCAGCUCAGGUCAUGAUCUUGGGGUCCUGGGAUGGAGCCCGGCUUCAGGCUCCCUGCUCAACAGGGAGUCUGCUUCUCCCUCUGCCCGUGCCUCUCCUUCUGUGCUCUCUCAAAUAAAAUCUAAAAAAAAAAAAAAAAAAAGAAAAAAUAUCGAAGGAACUUAUUCAUAUACUGAAGAAAAUGAGAGAGCAAUGUUCUGAAAGUCACCGAAAAUGCCUCCAAAUAUAACAGUGGCAUCAACCUCAAAAGACCAUAUAGCACCAGAUCUUGACGGUUGAAUGUGCUGAUUUUCCAGACAAGAUUAUGAUUAAAACAUGCUAACAGGUCUGCAGAACCAGUGAUUCCACUUGGAGAAACUUGUGUUAAAUAUUUGGACUAAUGUCCAUAUCCAGAAGCAUCUGUCAUAGUAUUGUUCGUAAUAGAAAAUUGGAAACAGCCUGUAUUUUAAACAAUAAGAGGUUAAAUAUUGUGUAUUUAUUGCUCAAAAAAAUGUUUCUUUUUUUAAAAGAUUUUAUUUAUUUAUUCAUGAAAGACAGAGGGAGAAGCAGGCUCCACGCAGGGAGCCCAACUUGGGACUCGAUCCUGGGUCUCCAGGAUCACACCCUGGGCUGAAGGCGGCGCUAAGCCACUGAGCCACCUGGGCUGUCCUCAAAAAAUGUUUCUAAUAAAAACAGGGUAUGGUGUAAAUCUAAUUUAUGUGAAAUGAAUGCAUCCUUGGCUCCUUAUGGGCAAACCUUGUCAAAUGAAUAGAGAAGAUAAUCUCUAAACUAAGGAUACUAAGCUCUGCUUGGGGUGCCCUCUCCCUAACCCACCAGCUUUAUCUAGUACACUGCAGCCACGGUGGGCCCUUUUACUCCUUUCCACACACCCUACUCUCUCCCACAGCAGGGCCUCUGGAUUUAUUGUGCUUCUGUCGUAUGCACCUUAUGACUUCAAGUUAAUUCCUAUGCAUUAAUUCUCAGCUCAGUAAUCACUGCCUCAUAGCCUUCGAUAAAAGACCUUCACAACUAGGUCAGGUCUCUACAUGUGUACCUCCUAUGGAGCAACAAUCACAGCUGCAGCUUCAUGUAGUUAUAUCAUUACUUGAUGACGGUGUGUCUCCCCCCAGCAGAUGGUAAACUCUGCAAGAGUUACAAGAUGGUAAACCCAGCAGGAGCUGUGUAUCCUUUUUGCUCAACAUAGCCAUAGCCAGCAAGAGCAUGAAGCUUGUUAUAUAUUAGGCUCUCAGUAAAUGCUAUUUAUUUUUUUAAUAUUUAUUUAUUUAUUUAUUUAUUUAUUUAUUUAUUUAUUUAUUUAUUUAUGAGACAGAAUGAGUGAAAGGGAGAGGAAGAGAGAAUCUGAAGCAGGUGCACUGAGCAGAGAGGCUGAUGCAGGGCUUGAUCCCAUGACCCCGAGAUCAUGACCUGAGCUGAAACGAGUUGGACGCUCAACCGACUGAGCCACCCAAGUGCCCCAGUAAAUGCUGUUUAAUCAAUGAAUGCAAUAUAUGAAAACACCAAUAGUUUUAAACUCUUGGUGUUGGUAUCGCUGGUGUGUUUUUGUUUUCGUUUUUGUGUGUAAUUGACACAUUUUUAUUUUACUGUGGUUUUUUCUAUAUCUUAUAUGUUUUCUAAUGAUUACCCAUUGCACCUGUUUUACAUAUGCAAGAAAAAGUUAUAAAAAUGAAUGUGUAUUUAUAAAACCAUUUAUUCAUCAGGGUGCUGAGCUCUGUGGGAGAUAACUAGUAAGCAUGAACGCUUCUACAGUGUUAGAAGCCAUGAACUCUUCUGACUACUUCACGCACUAUAAUUCUUUUAAUCCUCCUAACACCCCUACUUGGUAAGGUUAUUGUGAGAUACUGUUACCAUCUUCAUCCUUAUUUCCAGAUGAGGAAUCUGAAGCAUGGAAAGGCCAAAUAACUUCACUGAGGACACCUGGCUAGUCUGUGGCAAGACCUGGGUUCAAACACAGGCUCCUGACUCGAGCAUCUGUACCCCAUUGUCAGGUGUCUUACAGCUGAUAUCGCAGUUUGACUUGACUAGAAUAUGUAAAAAAGAAUAAAGUGAUGUAUAGUUAAUCCCUAAAUUAGACAAAAAGGAAGGCAAUCUGGUGAAGAGCAAUGUUUGAUGUGGAGGCCCCAGGUGUAUUCCCAGGACUUGAGAAUGCCUGGAUGGGGAUGAGGUUGUCUGAAUAUUCUGAAGACAGAUAAUGAGUCUGAGGAGAAAAGCUUUUGGUUUUGCUCCAUUUAGUAAGGAGUGUUGAAAGGAUUCAGCAUGCUUUGCUGGAAAGCAACAUCUAUGAAAUGGUUUUUGACUGCCUGUUAUGGAAGUAAGAUGAAGCAAAAUAGCCCAAGAUUCUUGUAGUAGUGUGUUAAGCAGCACAAAUUUGCUCACAGAAGAGAGGAAGAAGCAUCACUCACCAAAGAACCUUCUUUGUGCGAAGUCUAGUAUCACUGAAGCUAAAUAUAAUGAGAUUUAACGUAACAGCAUCUCCACUGUCAAAAACUUCCCAGAGACUUUCACCCUAACCAUCAAUGCCUACACACCUCAUCCGUGAGAUCCAAUUCAAUGGCUCCAAUUCAAUGGAUUGCAAGUCCAACUUUCAGACAACUGUCCUGUUUGCUUUGGUCCUUCCCCUUCAGGUGCUGUUAAUAUUUCCUUUUACAAGUGCAAAACUGACACACAGAGGUCAAGUCACUUGUGCCAUGUCAUCAAGUUAGUAAGAGGCAGAGCUCGGAUUCAUUCGAGGCAAACGGACACCCUGAUGCCAGCCAGGAGGAACACACACCUCCCCCAGAUUUAUGUAUGUAUUUUUGCGGGGAGGAGGAGCAGAGGAAGAGGGAAAAUCUCAAGCGAACUCUCCACUGAGCGUGAAGUCCAACGUGGGGCUUGAUCCCAAGACUCUGAGCUCAGGACCUGAGCUGAAACCAAGAGUCGGCCACUCCACCCACUGAGCCACCCAGGCGCCCUCAGAAUGCUUUUGAUUACAAGCUAAGAAGUGCCAUUUGAGCUUCCUUGAGGGAGAGGGAAGGGAGCUGUGGAUCUAGGGCGUUGCAGGGACCUGGUAGCGGGGAGGCAGCUGGACACCAGGAAUCAGUGGACCCAGGAUGCAGAUCCUAUCAGAAUGCUCAGCCCUUUGCACCUGUUUCCCUCUGUAAGUUGCCACUUCCUUUUCCUCUUGUCUGGCAGGUGGGCUCCUUUUGUUUUGCAGUCCUCCCACCCGGGUGGUGAAGACGUGGCACCUCCAACAGCCUGUCAGGACAAGCAAGCCGUGGACUUUGCUGAUAUCUCCCAGCCCCAGGAAUUUUUAAACUGGAUCUGGGAGACAGGGGAAGUCUGAGGAUAUGCAUCAGCUUACACUGGCUACCAUGCCCCCCCACCCAAUGUCUCAUGAAAAGUUUAGUCUGGAAAGAAAAUGGGGCAAUCACACAAGGAGAAGAGGAGACAAGAAGCCAAGAAUCUUGAUGGCAUUGGAGCCCCUGGUUCCAGCCACUCCUGAAACUAGCCCGGCCCAAUUCUAUCCCAGUCCGGUUAAUUGAACCCAUAUAUUUUUGCAUUUCACUAAAACUGGCUUACAUUGUAUGGAGUUUCUUAGAUUUUUUUACUUUUCAGGAGGAAGGAGCAUGCUAGCAGGGAGCCCGAGGGAGAGGGAGAGGGAGAGAGAAUCCUAAGCAGGCUCCAUGCCUAGCACAGAGCCCAAUUCAGGGCUCAAUCUCACAACCCUCAGAUCAUGGCCUGAGCCCAAAUCAAGAGUUGGACACUUAACCAAUUGAGCCCCUCAGGUACCCCAAAGUUGGGUUUUUAUUUUUGCUUGCCAUCCAAAAAUCCUGAUUCAUACAUCAGACAAGGGAUGCCUGGGUGGCUCAGCAGCUGAGCGUCUGCCUUUAGCUCAGAGCGUGAUCCCAGGAUCUGGGAUCAAGUCCCACAUCGGGCUCCUUGUGGGAAGCCUGCUUCUACCUCUACCUGUGUCUCUGCCUCUCUCUCUCUCAUGAAUAAAUAAAUAAAAUUUAAAAAAUACAUCAGACAAACCCAAGAAAGGACUACGGCUGGGCAGGCAAAAUGGUAGGGCUCCCACAGGUGGACAGUGAGUCAGGCUUUCCCCUGUACAAUCCUGACAAACACACCACUCUUCUCACCAUGCACUUUUGGUGUUAAUCAGCACCCCACUUCCAGACUUUGGGGGGAAAAGUGUCUGGAUCUGAAAUCUCCUGAACUUCCGAGUGAGUUCAUCUCUGUUCUAAAUAAUAGUAUUUGUCAGUGAAAGGAAAUUUUCAUAACCCAAAAGUUACAAUUAGAAAUAUUAGGAUAGACCCGGAAUAUGGGAAAAUACUGUUGCCAUAUGUUAGAACUAUUUUCUCUUCCCCCUCAACGGAAAGUGAAGGGACACCAUUUCAACCGGCGCUGUUGGGAGUGACUCACGGGGUAUUAAUAGCUGUGCAGGCCUAGCAAUGCUGCUGCAGGGAGAGCAGACAGCAGGGGAGUAGGAUUCGGACUAAGUAAAUAAGUAAAUAUUGCUUGUCAUGAGAUAUGGAUCUUUGCUGAGAUAUCAAGUGAACCUUUUGUCUUUAAAAAGACCUAAAAAAAAAAAAAAAAAAGACCUAAA